AUGUUAGCCUCUAGGGGUUUUGGGGCUAAGUGGAUUAGUUGGAACUUGUCCAUUCUGCAACAAAGCUCUUUUUGUGUUAAAAUCAAUGAUGUCUUAGGUCCUUAUUUUGUGGGAGGGAAAGGGUUGAAAUAAGGAGACCCGAGCUCCCCCAUGCUAUUCAAUCUUGUGGCGGAUGUGUUCUCUCGUAUGUUGGUUAAAGCUGUUAAUAAUAACAUCAUUUCAGGGAUUGUUCCACAUAUCAUUCCCCAUGGGCUUAUUUGUUUGCAAUAUGCCAAUGAUACAAUAUUGUUUCUAGAUCCUAAACCUGAGUAUGUAAAAAAAUAUAAAUGGUUACUUGCGUGUUUUGAGAACCUUUCUGGUUUGAAAAUCAAUUAUGACAAGUGUGAAGUGGUGCCAGUUAAUCUAAAUCAAUGUGAUGCUAAGUUGUUAUCUCAAAUAUUUUGUUGCAAAUUGGGGGAUUUCCCUCUUAAAUAUCUGGGAGUUCCAUUACAUUAUCUCAAACUGAGGAGGGAAGAUAUCCAAUAUAUUAUAGACAAAAUUAUUAAGAGGAUUUUUGGUUGGAAAGGGAGAUUACUCAGCUAUGAGGCGAAGUUGGUUCUGCUCAAAGCUUGCAUUACCAGUAUUCCUAUGUACCUAAUGUCUGUGAUUAAGUUUCCUAAGUGGGCCAUUAAAGCUAUUACCUCUCAGAUGACGCAUUUCUUUUGGGGGGACUGGGAGACGAGCAUAAAUACUAUCUUGCAAACUGGGGGCUGA
Molecule: ribosomal RNA, 753 nt
Filed under: Triticum aestivum (bread wheat)
Lineage: Eukaryota; Viridiplantae; Streptophyta; Magnoliopsida; Poales; Poaceae
Description: partial small subunit ribosomal RNA
Source: RNAcentral